This 253-nucleotide ribosomal RNA is filed under the name uncultured bacterium. Its description in RNAcentral is "partial 16S ribosomal RNA". It matches the Rfam family "Bacterial small subunit ribosomal RNA", at positions 524 to 776 of the family's 1533-position model. The record is from RNAcentral.
UACGUAGGGGGCAAGCGUUGUCCGGAAUUAUUGGGCGUAAAGCGCGUGUAGGCGGCUCGGUAAGUCUGCUGUGAAAGUCCAGGGCUCAACCUUUGAACGCCGAUGGAUACUGCCGGGCUAGAGUCCGGAAGAGGCGAGUGGAAUUCCUGGUGUAGCGGUGAAAUGCGCAGAUAUCAGGAGGAACACCGAUGGCGAAGGCAGGUCUCUGGGCAUUAACUGACGCUGAGGAGCGAAAGCAUGGGGAGCGAACAGG